This 460-nucleotide ribosomal RNA is filed under the name uncultured bacterium. RNAcentral's name for it is "partial 16S ribosomal RNA". It matches the Rfam family "Bacterial small subunit ribosomal RNA", at positions 338 to 795 of the family's 1533-position model. The record is from RNAcentral.
CCUACGGGAGGCAGCAGUGAGGAAUAUUGGUCAAUGGACGAGAGUCUGAACCAGCCAAGUAGCGUGAAGGAUGACUGCCCUAUGGGUUGUAAACUUCUUUUAUAAAGGAAUAAAACGAGGCACGUGUGCCUUUUUGCAUGUACUUUAUGAUUCAGGAUCGGCUAACUCCGUGCCAGCAGCCGCGGUAAUCCGGAGGUUCCGAGCGUUAUCCGGAUUUAUUGGGUUUAAAGGGAGCGUAGAUGGGUUGUUAAGUCAGUUGUGAAAGUUUGCGGCUCAACCGUAAAAUUGCAAUUGAUACUGGCAGUCUUGAGUACAGGUGGGGUAGGCGGAAUUCGUGGUGUAGCGGUGAAAUGCGUAGAUAUCACGAAGAACCCCGAUUGCGAAGGCAGCUUACUAAACUGUGACUGACAUUGAUGCUCGAAAGUGUGGGGAGCAAACAGGAUUAGAUACCCGGGUAGUC